UAAAAGUUUGCUGAGUUCUGGCAACUCUGUC
This 31-nucleotide non-coding RNA is filed under the name Mus musculus (house mouse). The record is from RNAcentral. Lineage: Eukaryota; Metazoa; Chordata; Mammalia; Rodentia; Muridae.